AGAGUUUGAUCCUGGCUCAGGAUGAACGCUAGCGGCAGGCCUAAUACAUGCAAGUCGAACGGUAACUAGUGUAGCAAUACACUGGCUAGAGUGACGUAAGGGUGCGUAACACGUAUGCAAUCUGCCCUCAACAGGAGAAUAGCUCCCCGAAAGGGGAAUUAACACUCCGUAACACCGCGAAAGGGCAUCCGAUUGCGGUU
RNAcentral lists this ribosomal RNA (200 nucleotides) under uncultured bacterium. RNAcentral describes it as "partial 16S ribosomal RNA". It matches the Rfam family "Bacterial small subunit ribosomal RNA", at positions 8 to 202 of the family's 1533-position model. The record is from RNAcentral.